GACGAACCGUCCAAACGUUAUUCGGAAUCACUGGGCUUAAAGGGUGCGUAGGCGGCCCGGAAAGUUGUGUGUGAAAGCCCCCGGCUCAACUGGGGAGGGUCACGCGAUACUGCUCGACUCGAAGGCAGGAGAGGGAAGUGGAAUUCCCGGUGUAGUGGUGAAAUGCGUAGAUAUCGGGAGGAACACCAAUGGCGAAGGCAGCUCGCUGGGACGUGACUGACGCUGAGACGCGAAAGCGUGGGGAGCAAACAGG
Molecule: ribosomal RNA, 253 nt
Filed under: uncultured bacterium
Lineage: Bacteria
Description: partial 16S ribosomal RNA
Rfam family: Bacterial small subunit ribosomal RNA
Source: RNAcentral